GCAGCUCCGGUUGAAUUUGUCCAGAAAUUGUGAUGAAAUCUACUGUGGGAGAUGGGAAAAGAAGAAGCGGAUUAUUUCUGGAGAGGCUUUGAUGAACAAGGCUGCAGUCAGCGACCUCUCUCAGCCCUCUUUGGACAGCUGUUGAGCCCCAUGUCAUGGCCGCCUGCCAUACAUUCUCAAUAGCCUGGGCGGACACGCUGUGGUUUUUGGCCCUUGUGACGGACUAAGGCUCCAGCACACCUCCCGGGGAGUUGUUUAUAUCACACAGUCCCAUUUGGACAAUCUGCAUUUUGGCGGUUGUGCCAAAAUCCCCAAAAGUGGGAGUGAGUGUCUGGAAGUUUCCAUGAGACUGUAUUCGACUUGACUGGACGGGGGGGGUGAGAUGCUAAGCCAAAUCUAACUGAAGAGGUUUGUGUUGGAAAAAAUGCAUCAUUAAGUUGACACCCUGCAUCGGGAGAACUUAUCAGUCUUGAUGUACUACCAUUCAAAAUGUUCUAGUUGUGGGCUAUGUUUGCCUCGGCUGACAAAGGUAAGACAGAGUGGCUGUGGGACUGGGUUAAUGCUAAGCUUUCCUAUGAGAGUUAUGCUCCGUCCUGACAAGAAUGAUUCACUUCCUGAAGGAUUGGUACUGCGCCAGAGCGCUUCUUCAAGGACAGAUAGCGUACUAACCCACUUUUUAAAAUGACUGAGAGCUCAACCCAGAAAUUCUAGGUGUUUUUAUAAGAGUCAUUCAUGCUUUCUAAGGCUUUGGAAGUGCCACUCAGAUUACAUUACAUGACGAAGUUGGAUCAUUGCGGAGGCCAAAGACAGAAUACAGAUUACUACAGAUUGUAUCAUGUAUCAUGUUUAAAUUACAACAUUAACAAGAAAGAUGAACAUAAACUGAACAAAAUAGUGUUAUUAUUUGGAAAUUUACUUUAAUUUAAUCUAAUUUAGUAAUGAGGACUCCAUAUGGUGUUACUUACCAAACUUAAAAGAAAAGAAUAUGUAUUACUUGCUUUUGGCCUAAAAGUGCAUCCUGGCUUGGCACACGAAAAAAUGUGGCUGUAAAAGCCAACAUAGAAGUCGGGAGUGGCCUCUUCUGCCCACUGUAAAAAAAACCAUGAGACUUCAUUGAGAGUCAUUGGCAAUUUGGCCACAUUAUAUAAUCAAGAAAGACUGAUCUUUUGUAAAGAAAUCAUCACAAGCUCACGAAGUCAGAAGAGUUAAGAUUAGUUUCUUAAUGUCCCUCCUAACAUACAUCUUUCAGUUGACUUCAGUUAGGAAGUGAAUACAUUUCUGUGGGUCUUUUCUUAGCCAUGACAGUGGCUUCAAAAAGGUAUUAUGAGUUGUGAGCAGUUGGUGGCUUUGUGGUGAAAACUCCGACUUUAAAAAGCACAAUCUAAUUUCUUGUUGCUCAAACUUAAACAAAAUUUGCAGUUUCAGCUGCACAUGUUAGCAUUAACAUAUAUGCACAGAAGUGUGUCAUCUGCUUCACCUACUUUGUAAGUGAUCUAAGAAAGUGAUUCUAAUACUACUCAGGAAACCAAUCAAGGAGGGACAAGGGGAAAAAAGGACAAGGAGGAUGCCAUUUCUUAUUUGUCCCUUCUCGCAUCCUUAUAGCUGAGUUUUGAUUUUCUGCCUGCUUCUCGGGCAUUUGGUGCCUUUGGGGAGUCUUGUGGUAUUUAUAGUGCAAUGGAGGGGAGUAGAAGGUGGAGGGGAGGAGAAGGAGAAGGAGAGCUCAUGGUGCUUCGUUCACAAUUACAUGGAAAUACCCAGCACGGUCACGCAUUCGGUGGACGCUAUAUCCUGCGCCGGGUAUAAUCCCAGCAGUCCCGCGGGAGAGCUGGAGUGUGACCGAGCAGAUUAACGUCUACUGCUUCCUCAGCAGACUGGACCGUCCAAUGCUAACAGCCGAGGCAGUCAUUCUCCCAGCUACAGUGGAGUAUGGUAUGAUGGUGCACCAACGCGCCCUCAGGAUCUGUGAACUCCAUCAAUAAUGACUGGAACGCAGAUUACAUGGCUGCAUGCUUGAGCUGCCAAGGACAGGAACAGGGCAGACUGCCCAUGUCCACAUGUGGCUGAACACAAAUAAAAAAAAUGAAUAACA
Dicentrarchus labrax (European seabass) is the source of this 2089-nucleotide long non-coding RNA. RefSeq lists it as uncharacterized. The record is from RefSeq and is a predicted model, not a curated record. The transcript is spliced from 2 exons. Lineage: Eukaryota; Metazoa; Chordata; Actinopteri; Moronidae.